Molecule: ribosomal RNA, 253 nt
Filed under: uncultured bacterium
Lineage: Bacteria
Description: partial 16S ribosomal RNA
Rfam family: Bacterial small subunit ribosomal RNA
Source: RNAcentral
UACAGAGGGUGCGAGCGUUAAUCGGAAUUACUGGGCGUAAAGCGUGCGUAGACGGUUAUGUAAGUUAGGUGUGAAAGCCCCGGGCUCAACCUGGGAAUUGCAUUUAAGACUGCAUAGCUAGGGUGCGGAAGAGGGAAGCGGAAUUUCCGGUGUAGCGGUGAAAUGCGUAGAGAUCUGGAGGAAUACCGAUGGCGAAGGCAGCCUUCUGGCCUAAUACUGACGCUGAGGUGCGAAAGCAUGGGGAGCAAACAGG